UCGUCGGCCUGCUGCGGGCAGAUGAAGUGGAUAUGCGUGUCGAUGCCACCGGCGGUGACGAUGUUGCCUUCGCCGGCGAUGACGUCCGUACCGGGGCCGAUCACGAUGUCCACGCCGGGCUGGAUGUCCGGAUUGCCGGCCUUGCCGAUGCCGGAAAUGCGCCCGUCCUUGAUCCCGAUGUCGGCCUUGAUGAUGCCCCAGUGGUCGAGAAUGAUCACACUGGUAAUGACCACGUCGGCCACCUCGCUGGCCAGGCGUUGGCCCUGGCCCAUGCCGUCGCGG
RNAcentral lists this small RNA (282 nucleotides) under Stenotrophomonas sp. BIIR7. RNAcentral's name for it is "5' ureB small RNA". It matches the Rfam family "5' ureB small RNA". Lineage: Bacteria; Pseudomonadati; Pseudomonadota; Gammaproteobacteria; Lysobacterales; Lysobacteraceae. The record is from Rfam by way of RNAcentral.